This 287-nucleotide unclassified non-coding RNA is filed under the name uncultured fungus. RNAcentral describes it as "partial contains 5.8S ribosomal RNA, internal transcribed spacer 2, and large subunit ribosomal RNA". The stretch from base 1 to 52 matches the Rfam family "5.8S ribosomal RNA", at positions 103 to 154 of the family's 154-position model. The record is from RNAcentral. Lineage: Eukaryota; Fungi.
AACGCAUAUUGCGCCCUCUGGUAUUCCGGAGGGCAUGCCUGUUCGAGCGUCAUUAUCACCCCUCAAGCCCGGCUUGCUGUUGGACGCAGCGGCGCACCCCCGUCUUCGGGGGCGCCUGCUCUUCCCAAAGAUAAUGACGGCGUCUGUGAGGACUCCAGUACACUGAGCUUUCGGGCACGUACUCGGUUAGAAAUCCAGACCCGGUCGACGUCGCCCCCGUCCGCGGGGACGACACCCCCCUUUUCAAGGUUGACCUCGGAUCAGGUAGGAAUACCCGCUGAACUUAA